Molecule: ribosomal RNA, 496 nt
Filed under: uncultured bacterium
Lineage: Bacteria
Description: partial 16S ribosomal RNA
Rfam family: Bacterial small subunit ribosomal RNA
Source: RNAcentral
AUGAACGCUGGCGGCGUGCCUAAUACCUGCCAGUCGAGCGAACAGACGAGGAGCUUGCUCCUCUGACGUUAGCGGCGGACGGGUGAGUAACACGUGGAUAACCUACCUAUAAGACUGGGAUAACUUCGGGAAACCGGAGCUAAUACCGGAUAAUAUAUUGAACCGCAUGGUUCAAUAGUGAAAGACGGUUUUGCUGUCACUUAUAGAUGGAUCCGCGCCGCAUUAGCUAGUUGGUAAGGUAACGGCUUACCAAGGCGACGAUGCGUAGCCGACCUGAGAGGGUGAUCGGCCACACUGGAACUGAGACACGGUCCAGACUCCUACGGGAGGCAGCAGUAGGGAAUCUUCCGCAAUGGGCGAAAGCCUGACGGAGCAACGCCGCGUGAGGGAUGAAGGUCUUCGGAUCGUAAAACUCUGUUAUUAGGGAAGAACAAAUGUGUAAGUAACUAUGCACGUCUUGACGGUACCUAAUCAGAAAGCCACGGCUAACUACGUG